Molecule: ribosomal RNA, 116 nt
Filed under: Pteropus alecto (black flying fox)
Lineage: Eukaryota; Metazoa; Chordata; Mammalia; Chiroptera; Pteropodidae
Source: RNAcentral
GUCUACGGCCAUGCCACCCUGAACAAGCCUGAUGUCUGAUCUCGGAAGCUAAGCAGGGUUGGGCCUGGCUAGUACUUGGAUGGGAGACCACCUGGGAAGACCAGGUGCUGUAGGCA